AAUCUUCCACAAUGGACGAAAGGCUGAUGGAGCAACGCCGCGUGAGCGAAGAAGGUUUUCGGAUCGUAAAGCUCUGUUGUGAGGGAAGAACAAGUACAGGAGUAACUGCCUGUAUCUUGACGGUACCUCAUUAGAAAGCCACGGCUAACUAAGAGCCAGCAGCCGCGGUAAUACGUAGGGGGCAAGCGUUGUCAGGAAUUCUUGGGCGUAAAGCGCGCGCAGGCGACCUUUUAAGUCUGAUGUGAAAGCCCACGGCUUAACCGUGGAAGGUCAUUGGAAACUGAGAGGCUUGAGUACAGAAGAGGAAAGCGGAAUUCCACGUGUAGCGGUGAAAUGCGUAGAGAUGUGGAGGAACACCAGUGGCGAAGGCGGCUUUCUGGUCUGUAACUGACGCUGAGGCGCGAAAGCGUGGGGAGCAAACA
RNAcentral lists this ribosomal RNA (422 nucleotides) under uncultured bacterium. RNAcentral describes it as "partial 16S ribosomal RNA". It matches the Rfam family "Bacterial small subunit ribosomal RNA", at positions 360 to 774 of the family's 1533-position model. The record is from RNAcentral.